This 465-nucleotide ribosomal RNA is filed under the name Vreelandella stevensii. RNAcentral's name for it is "partial 16S ribosomal RNA". It matches the Rfam family "Bacterial small subunit ribosomal RNA", at positions 338 to 795 of the family's 1533-position model. Lineage: Bacteria; Pseudomonadati; Pseudomonadota; Gammaproteobacteria; Oceanospirillales; Halomonadaceae. The record is from RNAcentral.
CCUACGGGAGGCUGCAGUGGGGAAUAUUGGACAAUGGGGGGAACCCUGAUCCAGCCAUGCCGCGUGUGUGAAGAAGGCCCUCGGGUUGUAAAGCACUUUCAGUGAGGAAGAACGCCUGGUGGUUAAUACCCAUCAGGAAAGACAUCACUCACAGAAGAAGCACCGGCUAACUCCGUGCCAGCAGCCGCGGUAAUACGGAGGGUGCGAGCGUUAAUCGGAAUUACUGGGCGUAAAGCGCGCGUAGGUGGCUUGAUAAGCCGGUUGUGAAAGCCCCGGGCUCAACCUGGGAACGGCAUCCGGAACUGUCAAGCUAGAGUGCAGGAGAGGAAGGUAGAAUUCCCGGUGUAGCGGUGAAGUGCGUAGAGAUCGGGAGGAAUACCAGUGGCGAAGGCGGCCUUCUGGACUGACACUGACACUGAGGUGCGAAAGCGUGGGUAGCAAACAGGAUUAGAUACCCUUGUAGUC